GUGUCAGAAUCGCUAUUAUGAUCCUAAUUCGAAAAGUUCUUUUCAUGCUCUAUGAGUUUGAUGCUUCAUUAUUACAUCCGAUUUUAAGAGCAGAUUAUAUUGUGUGACAGAUCAAUGGGAGCCCGCACUAUAAGAAUAAUCUUUAUUAACGAUGGAUAUUAGUGAUGGCUAACAAGCCAAUGCUAUCGGUGAUAUUUACUGACGAAUUAUUAUGAUGGAAAAAAAAUCAUCGUUAAAGGGUUGAAGAUCUUUUAGCGAUAGCAUAACCAUCGUUAUAACUCUUAAAUUUUAAUUAAUUAUUUAUUUUAAUUAUUUUAAAUAUAAUUAGUUAUUAAUGAUGGCUUUAGCGACAUAACUUUUGCUAUCGCUAAUACAGUACCCUAACAUCUCUCAUUCUCAAUCGAUUAUUUUCCAUCGCGAACCCUCCUCCCCCUUCUUCUCCUACCUUCGGUCCCACUUCUUUCUCCACCACACCGCCAUAAUCCCUAUUGGAGUUCUCGUCCCCGCACCCUAAUCCUCACAUCGGAUUUGCCGUCCCCAUGCCCCUGCCUCCCCCCUUCUUGCCCCGUCGCA
This 573-nucleotide long non-coding RNA is filed under the name Elaeis guineensis (African oil palm). RNAcentral describes it as "long non-coding RNA (EGUI_LNC074102)". Lineage: Eukaryota; Viridiplantae; Streptophyta; Magnoliopsida; Arecales; Arecaceae. The record is from RNAcentral.